UUGCUAAAGGAUCGAUGUCUCUGUACGAAAGCCAAAUUUUGUUGCAAAAUGUAUUACUUUUGUUAACGAAAAAAAUAUGUUCGUUGCGGAACAAUUAGCAAUGCACAUUGCGUAACGAAAGACGCAACGACAGUAAAGUCGUUGCCAAAACCCUUUUGCAAUGAAAUUUGGCACCUUUAGCAACGAAAAUCGGUUGUUGCUGAAGCCUCAUUUUUUUGUAGUGUUAGAAAUUAGGUCCAUAAUUGUACAUUAGGGUUUCUAGCAGAACAAUUAGGUUUUCAAAUUUUGAAAUUAGGGUUUUCUAACUAAUUUGUUAGGUUUUACCCUAAUUAAGACUGUAAUUAUUUACACUUAAAGCAUUCGAGAUCCAAAAUUAGGGUUUUCGUAAUCCAAAUUAGGGUUUUGGAUUCCCAGAACUGAAAUUAGGGUUUUCUAGAGCCGGUAUUAGGAUUUCUUAUCAAUCGCUAGGGUUUUCUAACUGAACGUCGAUGUUCUUAUUUUAAUAUUAGGGUUUGGACACUAAUAUAAUUUAUCUGGUCAACCCUUGACCCUUAACCACUUACUGUACACAUAUGCAACCAUAUACACAGAACAUAUACACUUAUACAAUUAAUCCUGAAUAAUUCACCACAAAAAUUUUAAAUCAAUAAAAUUUCUUCCUAUAAAUGUCAAAUCCAUUUACUUAUUUUUUGUCUAGGUUUAUUAUUCAACCUUUAAUCCAUCAUUUAAGAUUUAAAUAAUUUUCUAAAUUCUCGUGUUGUCACAUUCACCGCUUCUUCUAAGAAUUUCGACCCCAAAAUUCAACUUACACCUUAUACCAUGUACCAUUCACCAUUUAUACACAGCAUCACAUGCUACCCCAUACAUUCCUCACAAGAGUAAAAAUUUUGAAAUUAUGCUGAGGUGUUAUAUAGACUAUUGUCUGUCAUUUUCGAAAAUGUUUAUACAGAAAUUCAUCUACAAACCGUCAUAUGAUAGACACAUAGGGUAAUUAGCCCGAUAUGCCCUGUACUGGCCAGGUACUGCUGGUCUAAUCUAUUUGUCAUCACUUCCAUAGGCACAAAAUUUUACCUCAGUCUUAUAGGAUUCCGUACCAAAAUAAUUUGGUACGGGAAAUUUUCAAAGAAUGCUUAGAGUUUUCAUAAACGUUGGUCUAGCCGAAUCAAAUAGCUUAGGCUCAUAUCAAUAAUCAAUUUCAAAUGAAAUAUUAAGGUAUAGCCAAAACUCCGUUGUCAAAUUAAAUUUUUUAAAAUAGUUUGAAAAUGACGUCAUGAUGUCGUACUGUAUUAACAGCCCGUUAAAGGAUGUCAUCAUUAUAUGACUUUGUCAUAACACAUCAUACAAUAGUGGAACAAUGAUUUUUAGUUCGAAUUCAACACUAAGUAUUCCUAUAUUUACAACUCCAUCAUUUUUUAUCAAUCUUGUACCAGGGUACAUGGUACAUUAAUGAUAAAUAAAAUAAAUUUUGAUAUUUCAAAUCAUUUUUCGUCUAGCCGAAACAAUUAGCAUAGACUAUUCUUUAAACCGUUCAAAAAUCAUUUUAAAUCAGUUUUAUCAUCUCAACAGGUAACGAGGUGUCGGUGACCCGAAGUCCACACAUACACAAUAGUCACCAGCAGUUGAGAUCAAUAAUUCAUUUUUCAAAAGCACAUAGUGCGUAUUUAGCUUGAUGUCAAAAAGUUUCAAAGUCUAGCAUAGUUAGCAGAUUUGGAAAACCUAUGUCUCCACUACUGAUCAAUAGCUUAAACAAUUUAUGUAUUCCUAUUAUCCUCAAUACUCCAUUCACACAAAACUAUACCCAGUUCAUUAAACUUACCACACUUAUGAGUUCAAGAACUUUCCACAAUCAUAUGAGUUUAAGAACUUGUCCUAGUCAGACAUUUGGCGUCCAUUCGCUGAGGGGUUCAUAAACAUUUCAUAUAAUCAUGAGUCACGAAUUUACCAUAAGUAUGAGUUUUAAGAACUCGUACUUAAACUGAUAUUCUCUACCUAUAACCUAUCUAACUAUUAUACACACGAGAAAAGAAUCACCUUCUCAAUAGUUAUAUAGCAAAUAGCGCGACACAGACAUUUCAAUGGUUAUCAGUACCAGAAACUACGUGGUUUUUACACCAAGUACAAUUCCCCUCCAAUAACAAGGAAUCAUACAACUCAGUUGCUGACAUGAGUCCCCAAUUGAAAUCUCCACUUAAUAUUAACUCCUUUCUCAAUACGAAUUUCAUUCCACUUGUAUUCAUAAUCCUUUCCUGAAUCUUUACCAAUUCAUAGUACAACUUACACACAACAUUCUUGCCAUAAACUUUUCAAUCAUUCGAUUGAUCCAUAUCAGAUCACGUGGUGAUCUCAUCGUAUAUAUUACGAUUCAUUUUUAUACAAUGAUUAUUUUGUUUGAUGAUCUCCUAUCCUUGUACCUUUAGUCUUUUAGACUCUAUCUUUCCACCAUUACUGUUCACCUUUAUUAUCAAAGUUAGGGAACUCCGUGUCUUUAUAACCCACCGAGAUUCGUCUUUGAAUCUUACUAACUUACUAACUCUAUUUGAGUUAGACCGAAUCGUAAUCACUGCGGAUAUUAGUCUCAGGUAACCCUACCUAAGGUUCAUAACCAACUGUAGCAUCCCCAAAUUUAGGUCCCAAAUCACCAUGAAUCUGGUAUAUUAUUUCUAUAACUAUUACGGAAGAUAUAAACAUAAAUUGUUUAUACAUUAAAAAUUACACACUAUCCCCAAGGUCGAGAACCUUCACAUAAAACCUGAAUCAAUAUCCUAUCUAACAUACAAUGUUAUUAUUAUACAAUACUGUUACAAAUUUUAGCUACACAUAUAAUUCCCAUGUUGUACUUGUCUUGGACCUUUCCUUGUAUUCGAAGUAUUCGUCUAAUCUAGAAGUGUUUAUCAUGAUAUAGCAAGGGUGGGCAACAAGUUUGCCUAGCAAGUAUAAGUUUAUUUGAGGAUAUAUCAUGAUUGAAAGAAUUUGAAUAAUAGCUGGCUAACAUUCAACAAUAUAAUUGUGAACUCGCAUGAACAAACUUUCAUAGCUAAAUGAACAAUGAACAUAAAUAAAUAUAUCUGAACCAGAUGGUAAUGAAGGUGAUCAGCCUUUCAUACCUGAUGAAUACAUGCAAUAUGCACAGAGUGCGAUUAAAUAAUUCAUGGACAUGGCAAUCAGCAAUAAUUAACCACAUGUAUAUUAGAAUGAAAUAACUCGAGGUUGAGUUAAGGAAAACUUGCAUGUACCAUUGAUUACCGUUACACAACCUAUUUAGCUUUGUCUGAAAACCUAAUAUAGAUAAUACUGAUCUCCAAGUAUUAGAAUAAUAUCAUCACAGUAUAAUAUUGUUAUAUAUAAACAUAGAAUAACCUUAACACAUAACACAUAACCCUAUCAGUCUAUACAGCACAUAAGACCUAGUAUCAAGUCAGAAUAUUGCAGUCUAAGUUGAAUCCAACACAAUAUCGACAUCCCGACAGUCUAGUGGAACAAUUAUCGAGCUUAAUAUUACUAAGACUUGGUCUAAACUAGUUCAUAAAUAUCUUAGAUAAUUUAUUAUCAGUCAAAAUAAUUUUCAUAAGCUCGUAAUAAUUUUCAGAUAAUUAUUAUCAUUUAUCAUGAUUUUUCAAUCAUUAAUAUCAUAUUUAUAUGAAUUAAAUACAACAUUAUUCCC
Molecule: long non-coding RNA, 3661 nt
Filed under: Panax ginseng (ginseng)
Lineage: Eukaryota; Viridiplantae; Streptophyta; Magnoliopsida; Apiales; Araliaceae
Description: long non-coding RNA (PGIN_LNC001160)
Source: RNAcentral